UCCUGCCAUACUGGAACUGAUGCAGCUUGAGAGUAGUAAAGGGGUUCAGUCUACAGAGGAGAAGAAGAUGACCCAGAGAAAGCAGGAAGGUUACAAACAUAAUCCUUAAGAUAAGAAGGAGGAUUGCGUUGUCUGCCAGAUUUCCUGGGAACAUCAGUUGAUGUGGAAGAAAGUAAAGCCGGAGGGGAGAUGUCAAGGUUGAAAGGAGGACUGGAAAUUGGAUUUGAAUGAGGAGAAUCUGGAACAGGAGGUGGAGAGGAAGAGAGUGGAACAGAGAAGUCUUGGUCAGAAGAGGAAUGUUCAAUGGGAGGAAUAGAAGGGAAAGAGAGGUGGAGGUGGAGAGGAAGAGACUGGAACAGAGAAGUCUUGUUCAGAAGAGGAAUGUUCAAUGGGAGGAAUAGAAGGAAAAAAGGAAGGGAAAGCAGGAGGAACAGAGUGACAGAAGAGGCAGAUUUGAAAGGAAAAGAAGUUUCAUGAAAGACAACAUCCCUGGAUACAAAACACUUUUUGGAACUAAGAUCAUAUAGUUUAUAACCCUUUUUGGCAAAAGGAUAGCCUAGGAGAACACAAGAAAUGGCCCUAGGCUUUAACUUUCCCUUUGAGGAAUGGGGACAGUAGCAUAGGCAAGGCAGCCAAAAGCCUUUAAAUGAGAGUAAGUGGGUGCCUUACUAUGCAAGAUUUCACAAGGAGAUUUACCAUGAAGGAGCCUGGAGGGUACUCUGUUAACAAGGUAGGUAGCAGUUAAUAGACAAUCACCCCAUAAAGAAAUGGGUAAACCAGACUGGAAAAGCAAAGCUCUACAGGUUUCAAGAAGAGUUCUAUGUUUCCUCUCAACAACACCAUUAUGUUGGGGAGUAUGUGGGCAAGUGGUUUGGUGUAUGGUGCCAUGUUGGUUAAAAAAGGAUGUACCAGUAAUGCUAGAUCCCAAUUCUAAAGCAUUGUCACUCCUAACAGUUUGUACAGUUGCAUUGAAUUGGGUCUUGACCAUACAGAGAAAAGAUUGAAGCAUGCAGAAAGCAUUGUUUUUAGAUUGUCGCUCCUAACAGUUUGUACAGUUGCAUUGAAUUGGGUCUUGACCAUACAGAGAAAAGAUUGAAGCAUGCAGAAAGCAUUGCUUUUAGACCCUAAUAAAUGUGUCCAGGUUGCCCUAGAAAAAUCAUCAACUGUUGUGAGAAAAUAUCUAGAACUAGAAGAGGUGGGGGUAUGAUAAGGUCCCCAAGUAUCAACAUGAAUCAACUGAAAAGGUUUAGAUGUACUAGUAGUGCUUUCAGGAAAGGAAGCCUAGUCUGCCUAGCCAUAGGACAGGUAGAGCAUUGAAAAGGCUGUUUAGAAGCAAAUGGAAAAGGUAAAGCAGAAAUGUGUUUCAUGUUCACAAAAGGGAUAUGGCCCAACAUUAAAUGCCAAAUGUAAUUCAUGUAUGUGGUAACAGUAUUAUUACACAUCGGACUGUUUAAAUUCAAAGGCAAACCAACAGCUUGAUCACUAGAAUAGGCAUGUUUACAAGAAUUAGAAAGAAGAACAUACAGAAACAGAAGAACCACAAUUAGAAGAAGAUGAAGGUGGCACCCAAACAAGUUUUCUAACAGAGUGAUGGCUUUCAGGAGGAUUCCCUUGGGGAACAGACACAUGUCCAUCAGAAGAAGAGGAUUCCACACCAGCAGUUAGAUGAGCAGCAGCAGGUCUCCUCCCCUUGUUAAAUGUUGUACUUUGUGGAAACCCAUGAAUCUUGAAAUACUUAUCAAUUAAGUGCCCAGAUUUUUUGCAGUAUCUACAUAAUAAAGGCCCUCUAGCUUGGUCAAAAUUGACUCUCUGUCUGAAAGUAGGAGAAGGAUUAGGAAUUGUGGCCUUAUUGAAUCCAACUGAAUGUCUAUUUGUGUGGACAUUGAAAGACAUAGAGUCU
RNAcentral lists this long non-coding RNA (1900 nucleotides) under Nicotiana benthamiana. Its description in RNAcentral is "long non-coding RNA (NBEN_LNC008206)". The record is from RNAcentral. Lineage: Eukaryota; Viridiplantae; Streptophyta; Magnoliopsida; Solanales; Solanaceae.